This 350-nucleotide ribosomal RNA is filed under the name Acrographinotus sp. n. MZSP 72991. RNAcentral's name for it is "partial large subunit ribosomal RNA". Lineage: Eukaryota; Metazoa; Arthropoda; Arachnida; Opiliones; Gonyleptidae. The record is from RNAcentral.
UCAGAUCACGUAAAUUUUUAAUAGUCGAACAGACUAAAUCUUUAAAACUCCUUCAUCAAAAAUUCAAUUUAAUUCAACAUCGAGGUCGCAAACUUAAUUAUUAAUAAGAACUUGCUAAUUAAAUAACGCUGUUAACCCUAGAGUAACUUUCUUUUGUUUAUAAUUCUUAUAAUUAAAAAUAGCCCUCUUCAAAUGUUACCCCAACAAAAUACCUUUAGGUAUAAAGCUUCUAGGGUCUUCUCGUCCCAAGAACUAAUAAAAGCAUUUUUACUUUUAAUUUAAUUUCAAAAAUUAUUUAAUAAAACUAUCCCUUUAGUUUCUACCUUUCAUACCAGUUUUCAAUUAAAAAA